GACCAGGAGGGAUCUGACUGCAAAUCUGUCACUCAAUGGGUCUCUGGAGUGAAUUCUGCUGAUCUGGCUGGCUAAGUGGGUAUCCCUUCCUUCCCUCGUGGUUCCAUAUGUGUUCCCUCUUGAAACUGGAUACUCAUUUGAAGAGGGUAAACCUUUCUUCAGUUGGGAUCUCUUACUAGAAACGCCAAACAAGCUCUCAAUACAACUUAUUGAUCCAGAUAUAGGAGAGCAGGUAACACACAGUGCCCUUGGUCAUGCUGU
This is an unclassified non-coding RNA of Cricetulus griseus (Chinese hamster), 261 nucleotides long. Its record names the gene 7SK. It matches the Rfam family "7SK RNA". Rfam says of the family: 7SK was discovered as an abundant small nuclear RNA in the mid-70s but a possible function has only recently been suggested. Two independent studies have found that 7SK RNA binds the CDK9/cyclin T complex (known as elongation factor P-TEFb). Lineage: Eukaryota; Metazoa; Chordata; Mammalia; Rodentia; Cricetidae. The record is from Ensembl.